AACACGGACUCGAAAACGGUGGACGCUCAGGCCGGCGCCGAGACCUCGUCGAGCCUUCUGAUGGCGGCGAUGGCCGGCAUGAACUUCAUCUACGACGCCG
Non-coding RNA from Euryarchaeota archaeon RBG_16_62_10, 100 nucleotides. Lineage: Archaea; Methanobacteriati; Methanobacteriota. The record is from Rfam.